AUAGCGUAUAUUAAAGUUGUUGCAGUUAAAAAGCUCGUAGUUGAACUUCAGACCUGGCCGGACGGUCUGCCUAACGGUAUGUACUGUCUGGCUGGGCCUUACCUCUUGGUGAGCCGGCAUGCCCUUCACUGGGUGUGUCGGGGAACCAGGACUUUUACCUUGAGAAAAUUAGAGUGUUCAAAGCAGGCUUAUGCUCGAAUACAUUAGCAUGGAAUAAUAAAAUAGGACGUGCGGUUCUAUUUUGUUGGUUUCUAGAGUCGCCGUAAUGAUUAAUAGGGAUAGUUGGGGGCAUUUGUAUUCCGUUGCUAGAGGUGAAAUUCUUGGAUUUACGGAAGACAAACUUCUG
This 346-nucleotide ribosomal RNA is filed under the name uncultured eukaryote. RNAcentral's name for it is "SSU rRNA". It matches the Rfam family "Eukaryotic small subunit ribosomal RNA", at positions 594 to 945 of the family's 1831-position model. The record is from RNAcentral.